UUUGACAUGUACGUGGUACGGAUCUGAAGGUGAGGACCCGGUCUUCGGACUGGGAGCGUACACAGGUGCUGCAUGGCUGUCGUCAGCUCGUGUCGUGAGAUGUUGGGUUAAGUCCCAUAACGAGCGCAACCCUUACCGUUAGUUACCAUCAGGUUAAGCUGGGGACUCUAGCGGGACUGCCACCGUAAGGUGAGAGGAAGGUGGGGAUGACGUCAAAUCAGCACGGCCCUUAUGUCCAGGGCUACACACGUGUUACAAUGGCCGGUACAAAGGGCAGCUACUUCGCGAGAAGAUGCUAAUCUCGAAAGCCGGUCUCAGUUCGGAUCGAAGUCUGCAACCCGACUUCGUGAAGCUGGAUUCGCUAGUAAUCGCGCAUCAGCCAUGGCGCGGUGAAUACGUUCCCGGGCCUU
This 410-nucleotide ribosomal RNA is filed under the name uncultured Sphingobacteriales bacterium. RNAcentral describes it as "bacterial SSU rRNA". It matches the Rfam family "Bacterial small subunit ribosomal RNA", at positions 980 to 1382 of the family's 1533-position model. The record is from RNAcentral. Lineage: Bacteria; Pseudomonadati; Bacteroidota; Sphingobacteriia; Sphingobacteriales.